Molecule: ribosomal RNA, 429 nt
Filed under: Gemmatimonadota bacterium
Lineage: Bacteria; Pseudomonadati; Gemmatimonadota
Description: Gemmatimonadetes bacterium partial 16S ribosomal RNA
Rfam family: Bacterial small subunit ribosomal RNA
Source: RNAcentral
UAGGGAAUCUUCGGCAAUGGACGAAAGUCUGACCGAGCAACGCCGCGUGAGUGAAGAAGGUUUUCGGAUCGUAAAACUCUGUUGUUAGAGAAGAACAAGGACGUUAGUAACUGAACGUCCCCUGACGGUAUCUAACCAGAAAGCCACGGCUAACUACGUGCCAGCAGCCGCGGUAAUACGUAGGUGGCAAGCGUUGUCCGGAUUUAUUGGGCGUAAAGCGAGCGCAGGCGGUUUCUUAAGUCUGAUGUGAAAGCCCCCGGCUCAACCGGGGAGGGUCAUUGGAAACUGGGAGACUUGAGUGCAGAAGAGGAGAGUGGAAUUCCAUGUGUAGCGGUGAAAUGCGUAGAUAUAUUGAGGAACACCAGUGGCGAAGGCGGCUCUCUGGACUGUAUCUGACGCUGAGGCUCGAAAGCGUGGGGAGCAAACAGG